UUGCCUAAAGAAAAAUAUCAACACAAAGAUGUCUUGAAAAAUGAAAAAGAAGAAAUUAAGAAAGAAAACAUACCUCACAACAGAAUAACCAAGAAUGACAACUGACAAUGAACCAAGGAUAAUACUACUCCAGAAUAGAAAUUUUGUUUUGAAGACUAGAUCUAAAAUCAUCUGGUCCUUGGUCAUUUCACAUAGGAAAUGGGGAAAAUCAUUGCACGACUUUAUCACAGGAAUCCCAUUUUCAAAACUGCAUAUGCCAACAGCACUGAUAGCUUUUCCUAAUGGAAG
Molecule: unclassified non-coding RNA, 288 nt
Filed under: Hevea brasiliensis (rubber tree)
Lineage: Eukaryota; Viridiplantae; Streptophyta; Magnoliopsida; Malpighiales; Euphorbiaceae
Source: RNAcentral